UACGUAGGGGGCAAGCGUUGUCCGGAAUUACUGGGCGUAAAGCGCGUGUAGGCGGCUAAGUAAGUCGGGCGUGAAAUCCCACGGCUCAACCGUGGAAGUGCACUCGAAACUGCAUAGCUAGAGUCCUGGAGAGGAAGGUGGAAUGCUUGGUGUAGAGGUGAAAUUCGUAGAUAUCAAGCGGAACACCGGUGGCGAAGGCGGCCUUCUGGACAGUGACUGACGCUGAGA
Molecule: ribosomal RNA, 228 nt
Filed under: uncultured bacterium
Lineage: Bacteria
Description: partial 16S ribosomal RNA
Rfam family: Bacterial small subunit ribosomal RNA
Source: RNAcentral